UCUGUGAUGAUAACGGUCCUCAGAAACUCAGCGGGACCCAAGUCUUCCUUCAUCACCCCAGAGAAGAGAGCUAAACUCCGGUCCAACCCGGUCAAAGUUCGCUUUGCUGAGGAGGUUGAGGUCAAUAGUCACUCUCAGGGCAACUCGCUGCUCUUCCUCCC
Molecule: long non-coding RNA, 161 nt
Organism: Oncorhynchus gorbuscha (pink salmon)
Lineage: Eukaryota; Metazoa; Chordata; Actinopteri; Salmoniformes; Salmonidae
Exons: 3
Source: RefSeq, a predicted model, not a curated record